RNAcentral lists this long non-coding RNA (289 nucleotides) under Felis catus (domestic cat). RNAcentral's name for it is "lncRNA (ENSFCAG00000052259.1)". Lineage: Eukaryota; Metazoa; Chordata; Mammalia; Carnivora; Felidae. The record is from RNAcentral.
CAAGGCUGGGGAGGGAAACACGUUGGAGCUAGAAAAGUGAGAGUGCCUGCUGGAACCACACGGACGAUCCUGCCAGAACCAGAAAGCUGAGCUGUCUUCCUGAACUGACCCGUGAUCUUUUAAGCUUUCUGUGUUUCUACCUGGGAGUGUGCCCUCUCUGCUUUCUGAGUCACGUUUCUGAGUUGAGUUUUGGUAAGUAAUGAUUAAAAACUACUUGUUAUGAGAAUUGUAGCUUCUUGAUUAAAGGAACAACUGAAAAUAAAUUCCCUCGGCAGUACUGUGGCCGCCA